CCAAACUUGGUUUUUACAUAUUUCUGAAUUGGUAUGACAAACUUGGAGUUUGGAACCCACUACAAAUUUAAAACAGCUUUGGUUAAGUGAACUUGUGUGAAUGAGCCAAAACUAAACUUGUUUUAUUUACAUAUAUAACCUGGUUGGCCAAGUCCACAAUUUAAACACCUAGCCAGACCCACGACAAGCUUGUUCAUGUGAGUCUAAAGUGAGCAGUGCCAUAUGACAAAAGAAUUUUCCCUCCACCCCUACCCAGAACGCUCCUAAAACCUGUUUCUUUGUGCUGAACCACCAUUUUUGUUGGAUUUAAACUUCCUCACUCUCAGUUGUCAGUUCUCACUUAUCUAGUUCUGGUGUUGUGAGUUACUCGUUUCGUUACUAGUUGUGAGUUUUGUUUAUGGUUUUGAUACCAAGACGAAGCAAAGAAGAAUUAAGGGAUUCCUGUAAAGAUCUUCUGAAGCAGGCGGUGGAGUUGAUGGGUUCAGAAAAGAAGUUGAAGGUCAAGUGGAAGAUAGUGGGCAUUGUAUUUAUUAUAUUAAUAAAUUGUCUUGAAAUGUGAA
Macrosteles quadrilineatus (aster leafhopper) is the source of this 560-nucleotide long non-coding RNA. RefSeq lists it as uncharacterized. The transcript has 2 exons. Lineage: Eukaryota; Metazoa; Arthropoda; Insecta; Hemiptera; Cicadellidae. The record is from RefSeq and is a predicted model, not a curated record.